GAGGGUAUAGCUCAGUGGUAGAGAGCGCACUUAGCAGGCACAAGGUCCUGGGUUCAAGCCCCAGUAUCUCCA
This 72-nucleotide transfer RNA is filed under the name Camelus bactrianus (Bactrian camel). It matches the Rfam family "tRNA". From Rfam's summary of the family: Transfer RNA (tRNA) molecules are approximately 80 nucleotides in length. Their secondary structure includes four short double-helical elements and three loops (D, anti-codon, and T loops). Further hydrogen bonds mediate the characteristic L-shaped molecular structure. tRNAs have two regions of fundamental functional importance: the anti-codon, which is responsible for specific mRNA codon recognition, and the 3' end, to which the tRNAs corresponding amino acid is attached (by aminoacyl-tRNA synthetases). tRNAs cope with the degeneracy of the genetic code in two manners: having more than one tRNA (with a specific anti-codon) for a particular amino acid; and 'wobble' base-pairing, i.e. permitting non-standard base-pairing at the 3rd anti-codon position. Lineage: Eukaryota; Metazoa; Chordata; Mammalia; Artiodactyla; Camelidae. RNAcentral also lists the same sequence under 2 other names. The record is from Rfam by way of RNAcentral.